GAUGAAGAACGCAGCGAAAUGCGAUACUUGGUGUGAAUUGCAGAAUCCCGCGAAUCAUCGAGUUUUUGAACGCAAGUUGCGCCCGAAGCCAUUCGGCCGAGGGCACGUCUGCCUGGGUGUCACGCAUCGUUGCCCCCCCAAACUCCGGUUCGGGCGGGGCGGAAGUUGGCCUCCCGUGCGUGCCUGCGCGCGCGGUUAGCCCAAAAGCGAGUCCUCGGCGACGAGCGCCACGACAAUCGGUGGUUUUUUUACCCUCGUUCCUCGUCGUGCGUGCCCCGUCGCCCGAACGCGCUCUUGCGACCCUUACGCGUCGCCUCGGCGGCGCUCCCACCGCGACCCCAGGUCAGGCGGGACUACCCGCUGAGUUUAAGCAUAUCAAUAAGCGGAGGA
RNAcentral lists this unclassified non-coding RNA (390 nucleotides) under soil metagenome. RNAcentral's name for it is "partial contains 5.8S ribosomal RNA, internal transcribed spacer 2, and large subunit ribosomal RNA". The stretch from base 1 to 122 matches the Rfam family "5.8S ribosomal RNA", at positions 35 to 154 of the family's 154-position model. The record is from RNAcentral.